AACAAGAUAGUUUAAUAAAAAAUAUCGGGUUUGCGUCUCGGAGAUGGAUCAAUUCUUUUGUUA
This 63-nucleotide transfer RNA is filed under the name Taenia sp. MZH:127001. Its description in RNAcentral is "tRNA-Ala". The record is from RNAcentral. Lineage: Eukaryota; Metazoa; Platyhelminthes; Cestoda; Cyclophyllidea; Taeniidae.